This is a long non-coding RNA of Rhododendron vialii, 427 nucleotides long. RefSeq lists it as uncharacterized. The transcript is spliced from 3 exons. The record is from RefSeq and is a predicted model, not a curated record. NCBI's taxonomy places the organism in Eukaryota, Viridiplantae, Streptophyta, Magnoliopsida, Ericales, Ericaceae.
AAAUAAUAUAUUGUUUGCUACGGGGUUGAAGGUCGAUGAUUUUCACGGUAAUACUUCUUUGAACUUGUGUGAACUUUUUUAAUAAUAAUUUAAAAAACUGAUUAAUAAUUUUGAAAUUUUAACUUCUAGGUCCGUACCUUAGCACUUGCAAGAAGAGCAAAUUAUACAUUAACCACUCAAUUCGUACAGACGGGAUUCCUGAAUGGUUUGCAAAAGACGAAAAUGCACAAAAGUCGGUAACAUGGAACCGCACACAUGGAUUUUCGCUCCCACAAGCAUUAAUAAUUUCAAAUGCCAGGAGAAUUCGAAUAAACCAAUUUGCGUUUCGGACCAAUGUAAACUAUUAUCGCGUUAUUGGCCAUAUUGAAAAAAUAUAUGUUGAACAUCUAUGGAUUGAUUUAUGCAAUACAUGCUAUAACCAAGUUGA